This 831-nucleotide non-coding RNA is filed under the name Pan troglodytes (chimpanzee). Lineage: Eukaryota; Metazoa; Chordata; Mammalia; Primates; Hominidae. The record is from RNAcentral.
UUUUUUUUUUUUUUGAGACAGGGUUUUGCUCGUUGCCCAGGCUGCAGUGCAAUGGUGCGGUCUUGGCUCACUGCAACCUCCACCUCCCAGGUUCAAGCGAUUCUCCUGCCUCAGCCUCCCGGGAGGCUGAGGUAGGCGGAUGGCUUGAGCUUAGGAAGUCAAGGCUGCAGUGAGCCAUGAUUGCAGCACUGCAUUCCAGCCUCGCGACCCUGUCUCAAAAAAAUAAAUAAAAUGCAAAGAGGUACAAGGAUGGCUAGUCGUCUAGUCAAAAGUAGUAAGGAUAUGUAGAAAAAGGCAGGACCAAGAAGAAAUAAUGUCAUAAAGACAAACAUGUUGAUUCAUCUAACUUGUGUGUUUCAAGGAAAGAAAAUAUUUCAAAUCAGGUGUUCUUAUCCUGAGAUCCACUGACCUGAAGCAACCUGGGGUUGAAAUGAAGCCCUGAUUCCUAAAGGAUUCUAUGACCUUUAGUGAGGUUUAGUGACCUUCACUGUGAGGUUAAGAACCGUCACAGUGAAGUCUAGUUCAUUUUCAUCUAUAAACCUACAUGUACUAUAACACCACCUUGUAGUCCAAGUAUUCAUAGUACACUACUCCCUGCAAAAAAAAAAAAAAAAAAAAAAAAAAAAUGAUUUUAAGACUGUUCCAAAGGCAUACAAGCAAUUAAAAGACAAUCACACCCAACAUAAAAGCUCACAGAUAUGUAAAGAUUCCAUUUAUAUGAAUAUCCAGAAUAGGUAAAUCCACAGACACCAAAAGCAGACUGGCAGUUAUCAAGGGUUAGCGGGUAGGGGUAGGGGCAGUAACUGCUUAAUGGGUACAUAGUUUCCUUUU